Molecule: transfer-messenger RNA, 404 nt
Filed under: human gut metagenome
Rfam family: transfer-messenger RNA
About the family: Bacterial tmRNA, also known as 10Sa RNA or SsrA, is named for its dual tRNA and mRNA-like properties. Its role is to liberate the mRNA from a stalled ribosome.
Source: RNAcentral
GGGGACGCUUAUGGAUUUGACAGGGCGAUUGUUACAUUUAAAUUGCGAGUCGAAGCGCUGUUCUUCGUAAAAACGAGCAAAAUAAAAUAAACGCUACAGAUAAUGUUGUAGUUGCUGAUUUUUCACGUGCUCGCGCACGUAAAGCUGCUUAAUCGAACUAGCAGUUCAGCCACCUCAAUUUGUCCAACUUGCCGAUAUUUGAGGUAAAUUAUGCAAGUUGCGAUUGUGUGUUUAAAGGGCAUCCAAUCUAAGCUUUUCCUUUAAGCUUGUAAAUAGCUUAUAAUUUACUUUAAGUUAUUCUAAGUUUGAAAGUUUGACAUUAUAGCUUGAAGCUUAAACUUUAUACACUCGUAGAGGUUUAAAUGUUACCGUUUUGGACGUGGGUUCAACUCCCACCGUCUCCA